AAAUGCAGAGACAACAAAAUCAAUUUCAAAGUCCUUGCAAGAUACUCCAUCUCUCAGGAUGCAGGACCCUUCAUGAUGACAGCCUCAACUUCAAGAUCAGUUUAACUUCAAAACCUCUGACAUUGGUUAUUUCUCAAGAGUUGUGAUUUUUUUUCUCCCUUGCAGCCACAGUUGGUCUAAAGGGACAUGGAUGAAUCUGGAGAACAUCAUUCUCAGCAAACUGACAGAAGAACAGAAAAUGAAAUACCGCAUAUUCUCACUCAUAGGUGGGUGAUGAAAAAUGAGA
RNAcentral lists this long non-coding RNA (286 nucleotides) under Callithrix jacchus (white-tufted-ear marmoset). RNAcentral's name for it is "lncRNA (ENSCJAG00000075408.1)". The record is from RNAcentral. Lineage: Eukaryota; Metazoa; Chordata; Mammalia; Primates; Cebidae.